AGAAAGAAUUUCAGCUUUGGGUGCUGAUAGUGGGGCUGUUGCUUCUUCCUUGA
RNAcentral lists this transfer RNA (53 nucleotides) under Prionailurus bengalensis (leopard cat). RNAcentral's name for it is "tRNA-Pro". Lineage: Eukaryota; Metazoa; Chordata; Mammalia; Carnivora; Felidae. The record is from RNAcentral.